GCCCAAGAGAUCGGGAUAACACCUGGAAACAGAUGCUAAUACCGGAUAACAACAGAUGAUGCCUAUCAACUGUUUAAAAGAUGGUUCUGCUAUCACUAUUGGAUGGACCUGCGGUGCAUUAGCUAGUUGGUAGGGUAACGGCCUACCAAGGCGAUGAUGCAUAGCCGAGUUGAGAGACUGAUCGGCCACAUUGGGACUGAGACACGGCCCAAACUCCUACGGGAGGCAGCAGUC
This 234-nucleotide ribosomal RNA is filed under the name uncultured Lactobacillus sp. RNAcentral's name for it is "partial 16S ribosomal RNA". It matches the Rfam family "Bacterial small subunit ribosomal RNA", at positions 128 to 355 of the family's 1533-position model. The record is from RNAcentral. Lineage: Bacteria; Bacillati; Bacillota; Bacilli; Lactobacillales; Lactobacillaceae.